UGGAACAAACCACCACCCCAAUCUGACCUCUUGAAGGUUUAUUCUCAUCAGAUAAUUAGAGGCAUAACCAAAUUUCUAUUCUGCAGAACUUGAUUUGUUAUUUCAUGUUUAAAGAAGUACUAAAACAUUUGCCUCUAAAUAGUCUUAACAAGUACAUAAACAACUCCCAUUCCCAUAACAAUGCACCUCUUUCUGUCUGCCUAUGCACUGAGGGGGGCAGAAUUUGCAGCAGUCGUCGACGGUUCUACAUCCUGCGUCGAUUGCGUCUCCUACUUUCGCAUUGAUGCUGACUUUCCUCGACAUCAAAAAAGGUGCUGCAUUACAUGCACCAUCGACUCCUCCUCCCACUGCACAUAGCAUAUGACGAGUGGAAUUUUAUACCUAAAUUUCGCCAACCAUUCCAAACGAGAAACGGAAACUCACUUAGCAUAAACUAAACGACUUACGAGAAGCGACGAGGAGAAGAGAAGCGAGAAAUGUUAUCUUGUAAAUGUGUGAGUUCUCCAUUUCUUCUUCUUCUUCUUCUUCUUUCUUUUGGUUUGCUAUGAGAGAAGUUGUAAAUUGGGUUUGUAGAAG
This 576-nucleotide long non-coding RNA is filed under the name Linum usitatissimum (flax). Its description in RNAcentral is "long non-coding RNA (LUSI_LNC005832)". The record is from RNAcentral. Lineage: Eukaryota; Viridiplantae; Streptophyta; Magnoliopsida; Malpighiales; Linaceae.